This 1439-nucleotide ribosomal RNA is filed under the name uncultured bacterium. Its description in RNAcentral is "bacterial SSU rRNA". It matches the Rfam family "Bacterial small subunit ribosomal RNA". The record is from RNAcentral.
AGAGUUUGAUCAUGGCUCAGAACGUACGCUGGCGGCACGCCUAACACAUGCAAGUCGAACGAAGUAGCAAUACUUAGUGGCAGACGGGUGAGUAACAUGUAGGUAUCUACCCUUUGGCCUAGAAUAACACGAGGAAACUUGUGCUAAUACCGGAUAAGUCUUUACGGAGAAAGCUUUAUGCACCAUUGGAUGAGCCUGCACUUGAUUAGUUUGUUGGUGGGGUAAUGGCCUACCAAGACUGUGAUCAAUAGCUGAUUUGAGAGGAUGAUCAGCCACAUUGGGACUGAGACACGGCCCAAACUCCUACGGGAGGCAGCAGUGGGGAAUCUUGCACAAUGGAGGAAACUCUGAUGCAGCGAUGCCGCGUGAGUGAAGAAGGCCCUUGGGUUGUAAAGCUCUUUCGUCGGGGAAGAAAAUGACUGUACCCGAAUAAGAAGGUCCGGCUAACUUCGUGCCAGCAGCCGCGGUAAUACGAAGGGACCUAGCGUAGUUCGGAAUUACUGGGCUUAAAGAGUUCGUAGGUGGUUGAAAAAGUUAGUGGUGAAAUCCCAGAGCUUAACUCUGGAACUGCCAUUAAAACUUUUCAGCUAGAGUAUGAUAGAGGAAAGCAGAAUUUCUAGUGUAGAGGUGAAAUUCGUAGAUAUUAGAAAGAAUACCAAUUGCGAAGGCAGCUUUCUGGAUCAUUACUGACACUGAGGAACGAAAGCAUGGGUAGCGAAGAGGAUUAGAUACCCUCGUAGUCCAUGCCGUAAACGAUGUGUGUUAGACGUUGGAAAUUUAUUUUCAGUGUCGCAGCGAAAGCGAUAAACACACCGCCUGGGGAGUACGACCGCAAGGUUAAAACUCAAAUGAAUUGACGGGGACCCGCACAAGUAGUGGAGCAUGUGGUUUAAUUCGAAGAUACGCGCAGAACCUUACCAACACUUGACAUGUUCGUCGCGACUCUAAGAGAUUAGAGUUUUCGGUUCGGCCGGACGAAACACAGGUGCUGCAUGGCUGUCGUCAGCUCGUGUCGUGAGAUGUUGGGUUAAGUCCCGCAACGAGCGCAACCCUCACUUUUAGUUGCCAUCAUUAAGUUGGGCACUCUGAAAGAACUGCCAGUGAUAAGCUGGAGGAAGGUGGGGAUGACGUCAAGUCCUCAUGGCCCUUACGUGUUGGGCUACACACGUGCUACAAUGGUAUCUACAACAGGAAGCAAGACUGCGAGGUCAAGCAAAUCCUUAAAAGAUACCUCAGUUCGGAUUGCACUCUGCAACUCGAGUGCAUGAAGCUGGAAUUACUAGUAAUCGUGGAUCAGCGUGCCACGGUGAAUGCGUUCCCGGGUCUUGUACACACCGCCCGUCACACCAUGGGAGUUGGUUCUACCUUAAGGCAAGGUUUAAAACCCUUGACCACGGUAUAGUCAGCGACUGGGGUGAAGUCGUAACAAGGUAACCGUA